Molecule: long non-coding RNA, 1698 nt
Organism: Cygnus atratus (black swan)
Lineage: Eukaryota; Metazoa; Chordata; Aves; Anseriformes; Anatidae
Exons: 5
Source: RefSeq, a predicted model, not a curated record
UUUCCAGUUGGCCUCGAUGGUUGAUUUUUUAUUCAUAAAGUUCAUAAAAACAGAUGUAGUAGCAUUUUAGCAUAUAUUUAUUUGGAAUAUGUUAAACAGUUGCUUAAUGUUGAAUUCAUCAGCUAUGACUUGUGCACGUGAGAUUUGGGAGCCGCAGUUUAUGUUAUUUAAAUGAAUUUAAUGGGAAUAAAAAGUGCAAGGACUAUGCAAGUGUUCUGGGUUAUUCAGCAACAGUAUUACAAUAAGCCAAAGCUUGAAAUUAAUUAAUUUCCUAACUACCACAAUGAAAUUGUUUUUAAUGAGGAAGCAAUCUGACUUCCAGACAUUCGGAUCCAGCUGUAAUGAAAAUGUGCAGCCUUUCCUAUGUGCGUGAUCACUGAGCAGGAGCACAUCAUUUCCCAAAGCUGUCCAAACCAGUGGUCCCUCUCCCUCAUGAGGUCCCCAUGUGCCACGUGCUGAGCUCUAGGUCAGGCAAGGGAACAGGAGAGAGAGCAUGGUGGCAUUUGUGACUGUACGGAAGCAAAUACUGUGCUGGGGUACUUCUUUUUAUAGCUACAGUACAAUAAUUCUGGAUGCAUGCUGACCUGGACAAACGUAUUAUGCAGUGACAGUGUUAACAUCUGUAUUUUAUUACUUAUGUUACUUCCACAGCAUGUGACUGGGAAUGAAAGUGGAAAUACCGGUUUCUGCUCUCACCUUUCCCAAGAUUUAAUUUGUAAGCCAACUUUCUUUAAAAUAUUCAGAGACAGGAGAGAUGAUGCAAUGAGUACAUCAUCACAUGCCCAUCCCAAAAGGAAGACAAUUAUGAAUUUCAAGUGCAAAAACUUUCCUACUGUCCUACUGACUGAAAAGGAGAAAACAACAAUUUUAUAAAGAGAGGAGAGGCUACUAAGAGAAUUGUAUCUAUUUUCCUGGAAGGACUACAAAGAUUGACAAAUAUUUUUGUAAAGCAAUUUAGACCUACGGUGGCACUUUUUCAAAAGCAAUUCUGUGUGGAAUAGACUGAAAUGGACAUCGCUGUGGCAAUCAUGGUUGUUCACAAAACAUGAGUUCUGGAGAGCUGAGUGGCUAUCUGUUCCAGGAAGGUAGUGAUAGUGAAGAGUGGUCUAGCAGUUUCAAAGGAAGGUGAAAUUAUAUGAACAUGUGGAUGAGUGGCAGAGACAGUGGAGGUGAGUUUUUAAACAAAAGCAGGAAAAAAUGUUGGGCGCAUUGCUAAAUCAGGAGGGGGGGAAAGAGGGUUUUAGCAGCAUAUUGUGCAGUUCUAUGCAAUGCAUUUUGAAGAUGUUUAUAAGUCAGAAUAGUGGAAUUUAGUCUAAUGGAGAGUUGCAGAGAACUGCAGCUGCCAGGAGGGCACUUUCAAUUGUGUGUACGCAGAGUGUUAGGAAGAGUUGCAGGAAUGGGACAAAAUAAAUGGUGUGAUACAAUACUGAUGUGGACUUGAGAUUUCUCAGUACAGAAACAAAAAGGAUUCUCCGUCUGCAAGUGAUCGUGUUUCUAGUUUCAUGCUGUGGGUCUGCUGUCAUCCGCUGUGAUUUGUUCAGCAAUUGGAAGAAAAAAAUUCUUUACAGUAUUCGUGAAGUAUCCGUGUGCCAGUGAGAACUUUCCGCCUGCAGAGGAGAGCGGUGGGUACGGGAAGGUGACCAGCACACCGGGCUGGCGGCCCCUCACACCACUGCCCCGCCAGGUGCCAGUGCCCAG